This 245-nucleotide ribosomal RNA is filed under the name uncultured Lactonifactor sp. Its description in RNAcentral is "partial 16S ribosomal RNA". It matches the Rfam family "Bacterial small subunit ribosomal RNA", at positions 524 to 768 of the family's 1533-position model. Lineage: Bacteria; Bacillati; Bacillota; Clostridia; Eubacteriales; Clostridiaceae. The record is from RNAcentral.
UACGUAUGGAGCAAGCGUUAUCCGGAUUUACUGGGUGUAAAGGGAGCGUAGACGGCGAGGCAAGUCUGAUGUGAAAGGUGUGGGCUCAACUCACAAACUGCAUUGGAAACUGGUUUGCUAGAGUGUCGGAGAGGUAAGUGGAAUUCCUAGUGUAGCGGUGAAAUGCGUAGAUAUUAGGAGGAACACCAGCGGCGAAGGCGGCUUACUGGACGAUAACUGACGUUGAGGCUCGAAAGCGUGGGGAG